Cucurbita maxima (winter squash) is the source of this 407-nucleotide long non-coding RNA. RefSeq lists it as uncharacterized. NCBI's taxonomy places the organism in Eukaryota, Viridiplantae, Streptophyta, Magnoliopsida, Cucurbitales, Cucurbitaceae. The transcript has 3 exons. The record is from RefSeq and is a predicted model, not a curated record.
AGAGGGCCAAAAGGGGCAUUUUGCUCCUCAACCCAUUAUAGGGGUCUUGAGGAUUCUCCACAGAUUACCUGCAAAAGAGAAAAGUGUGAGAAAGAAAGUUGAGAGAAAACUUGAGAGGGAAAAGUAAAUCGUCAGUCCUCGUCGGAGAAUCACCAACGAAAUUCAUCCUCUAUCGAGACUUACACUCUAGAGCUUCUUCUUAGAGAGAAAAAAGACUCGUGUUGUUGAGGUUGCAUCUUUCGUCAAGAUCCGAGAGAAAUCCUCAAGGGAAGAUCCACCACUGAUUUUGUGAGGAAAUCGGACGAAAUGUUGAGAUCUGAGAAUCUUUCCAAUAACGGAGAAGAGAGAAGGCGACAGCGCGCCACGUGUCAACCGGCAAGAGGUCCGCAUGCGCCAAUAACCACCGG